This 464-nucleotide ribosomal RNA is filed under the name uncultured bacterium. RNAcentral describes it as "partial 16S ribosomal RNA". It matches the Rfam family "Bacterial small subunit ribosomal RNA", at positions 338 to 795 of the family's 1533-position model. The record is from RNAcentral.
CCUACGGGUGGCAGCAGUAGGGAAUUUUCGUCAAUGGGCGCAAGCCUGAACGAGCAAUGCCGCGUGAACGAGGAAGGUCUUCGGAUCGUAAAGUUCUGUUGAAGGGGAAAAAGAGCGGAGAGAGGAAAUGGUCUCCGAUUGAUAUUACCCUUCGAGGAAGUCACGGCUAACUACGUGACAGCAGCCGCGGUAAUACGUAGGUGGCGAGCGUUAUCCGUAAUGAUUGGGCGUCAAGGGUGCGUAGGCGGCCUGCUAAGUCUGGAGUGAAAGGUACCGGCUCAACCGGUACAGGCUCCGGAAACUGGCGGGCUAGAGAGCAGGAGAGGGCGGUGGAACUCCAUGUGUAGCGGUAAAAUGCGUAGAUAUAUGGAAGAACACCAGUGGCGAAGGCGGCCGCCUGGCCUGUUACUGACGCUGAGGCACGAAAGCGUGGGGAGCAAAUAGGAUUAGAUACCCCAGUAGUC